AUUUUAUCCAUCGCUCACUGAGUAUUCUAUCAGGAGUCGAAAAAUGCGUUAAGUUAACUAACGUUUCGUCUCUUGAUGGUUUACUUAAUAAGCAAAGGAUUUUU
Molecule: microRNA precursor, 104 nt
Filed under: Schmidtea mediterranea
Lineage: Eukaryota; Metazoa; Platyhelminthes; Tricladida; Dugesiidae
Description: microRNA sme-mir-12 precursor
Gene: sme-mir-12
Source: miRBase by way of RNAcentral